UACAGGGGGGGCAAGCGUUGUUCGGAAUUACUGGGCGUAAAGGGCUCGUAGGCGGCCAACUAAGUCCGACGUGAAAUCCCCAGGCUUAACCUGGGAACUGCGUCGGAUACUGGAUGGCUUGAAUUCGGGAGGGGGAUGCAGAAUUCCAGGUGUAGCGGUGAAAUGCGUAGAUAUCAGGAGGGACACCGGUGGUGUAAACGGCUUUCUGGACCAUAACUGACGCUGAGGCACGAAAGCGUGGGUAGCAAACAGG
This 253-nucleotide ribosomal RNA is filed under the name uncultured bacterium. Its description in RNAcentral is "partial 16S ribosomal RNA". It matches the Rfam family "Bacterial small subunit ribosomal RNA", at positions 524 to 776 of the family's 1533-position model. The record is from RNAcentral.